AGUGAACGCUGGCGGUAGGCCUAACACAUGCAAGUCGAACGGCAGCACAGUAAGAGCUUGCUCUUACGGGUGGCGAGUGGCGGACGGGUGCGGAAUACAUCGGAAUCUACUUUUUCGUGGGGGAUAACGUAGGGAAACUUACGCUAAUACCGCAUACGACCUACGGGUGAAAGCAGGGGAUCUUCGGACCUUGCGCGAUUGAAUGAGCCGAUGUCGGAUUAGCUAGUUGGCGGGGUAAAGGCCCACCAAGGCGACGAUCCGUAGCUGGUCUGAGAGGAUGAUCAGCCACACUGGAACUGAGAAACGGUCCAGACUCCUACGGGAGGCAGCAGUGGGGAAUAUUGGACAAGGGGCGCAAGCCUGAUCCAGCCAUACCGCGUGGGUGAAGAAGGCCUUCGGGUUGUAAAGCCCUUUUGUUGGGAAAGAAAAGCAGCAGGUUAAUACCCCGCUGUUCUGACGGUACCCAAAGAAUAAGCACCGGCUAACUUCGUG
RNAcentral lists this ribosomal RNA (492 nucleotides) under uncultured bacterium. RNAcentral's name for it is "partial 16S ribosomal RNA". It matches the Rfam family "Bacterial small subunit ribosomal RNA", at positions 29 to 507 of the family's 1533-position model. The record is from RNAcentral.